UCCUCCCUCUGGCGGCGUGCUUAACACAUGCAAGUCGAACGGAAAGGCCCCUUUGGGGGUACUCGAGUGGCGAACGGGUGAGUAACACGUGAGUAACCUGCCCUUGACUUCGGGAUAACUUCAGGAAACUGGGGCUAAUACCGGAUAGGAAUCCUUGCUGCAUGGUGGGGGUUGGAAAGCUUCGGCGGUUUUGGAUGGACUCGCGGCUUAUCAGCUUGUUGGUGGGGUAGUGGCUUACCAAGGCUUUGACGGGUAGCCGGCCUGAGAGGGCGACCGGCCACAUUGGGACUGAGAUACGGCCCAGACUCCUACGGGAGGCAGCAGUGGGGAAUAUUGCACAAUGGGCGGAAGCCGGAUGCAGCAACGCCGCGUGCGGGAUGACGGCCUUCGGGUUGUAAACCGCGUUCAGCAGGGGCGAAGCUUGUGGUGACGGUACCUGCAGAAGAAGCACCGGCUAACUACGUG
This 465-nucleotide ribosomal RNA is filed under the name uncultured bacterium. Its description in RNAcentral is "partial 16S ribosomal RNA". It matches the Rfam family "Bacterial small subunit ribosomal RNA", at positions 36 to 507 of the family's 1533-position model. The record is from RNAcentral.